Pogoniulus pusillus (Red-fronted tinkerbird) is the source of this 449-nucleotide long non-coding RNA. RefSeq lists it as uncharacterized. The record is from RefSeq and is a predicted model, not a curated record. NCBI's taxonomy places the organism in Eukaryota, Metazoa, Chordata, Aves, Piciformes, Lybiidae. The transcript is spliced from 2 exons.
UUUGCAUCAGAUAGAACCUGCAUCUUGUUAAGGCUACUUUCUGAAUAUCCAAGUGGACUGGGUUUCAUAACAUCUGACACCACAAAAGCCAGACAGCACUAGCAAAAAAAGUGACUGAAAUGGCUGAAGUUACCUGACUAAAGACACCUUUUUUGUACACCAUCUUCUACUUCCCAGCACCAUACCAAUACGGUAUAGCUGCCAGUAAUCUUCAUAUUGACUCUAUGAAAUAGGUAACUAAAAUUAUUUCCUUUCUCUGGAGACACUGGUGAUAAAAUACUUGGAACUGAAGUGAAACGGUUUUAGCUCCCCAUGGAGACAGAAACUACCACAUCACUGGUGUCCUCCACCUCAGUAAAUCUUGUGGCUUUCCUUAGGGUACUAAUGGUUUAUUACCGAAUGCUAUUGCAUGUACAAACUCUGAUCAAAAUAAAAAAUAUUUGUUUACA